This 317-nucleotide long non-coding RNA is filed under the name Lathyrus oleraceus (garden pea). RNAcentral's name for it is "Pisum sativum (pea) long non-coding RNA (PSAT_LNC010738)". The record is from RNAcentral. Lineage: Eukaryota; Viridiplantae; Streptophyta; Magnoliopsida; Fabales; Fabaceae.
AUUCAUUCACCUCUUCAGGAAACACAUCAGGAAAAUCACACACCACGGCUAGAUCGCCAAUCACCAGUUUAUCUUUAGCCUCCAAAGUCGCUAACAGCAUAAACAACUCUGCUCCAUCCACUACUUCUUCAUCACCUGUCUUGCUGAUAGAAACAAACUCUUUCUUCUUCAAUCUCAGGAAAAACCACCGUCUUAUCAAAACAAUUGAUAGAAACUCGGUUAAACACCAACCAGUUCAUACCCAGAAUAACAUCAAUCUGCACUAACGGAAGACACACAAGGUCUAUCCCAAAGUCUCUACCAAAAAUACUCAAAGG